ACACGUAGUUAACCUAACCUUUGGAGGAGGAUAACCUUGGGAAACUGAGGACAAUACUCCAUAGGCGAUAAUAGCUGGAAAGCUUCUUCGUUUAAAAGAAAUGCGAAAGUAUUUUGCCGUAGGAUGGGACUGCGGCGGAUUAGCUCGUUGUUGAGGUAAAGGCUCAACAAGGCUAUAAUCCGUACGGGUCGUGAGAGCAAUAGCCCGGAGAUGCACUCUGAGACAUGAGUGCAGGCCCUACGGGGCGCAGCAGGCGCGAAACCUUUCCAAUGCGCGAAGGCGUGAGAAGGGAAUCCUGAGUGAUGCCGCAUUGCGGCAUCUUUUCUUUACUGUAAAUAGGUGGAGGAAUAAGUGGUGGGCAAGACGGUUGCCAGCCGCCGCGGUAAUAACCGCGCCACGAGUGGUAGCCACGAUUAUUGGGCCUAAAGCAUCCGUAGCCGGCUUGAUGUGUCUUUGGUGAAAUCUGACAGCAAACUGUCAGGCUUGCUGAAGUUACUAUCAGGCUUGGGACCGGGAGAGGGUGAAGGUACAAUAUGGGUAGGGGUAAAAUCCUUUAAUCCAUAUUGGACCACCUGUGGCGAAGGCGUUCACCUAGAACGGGUCUGACGGUGAGGGAUGAAAGCUUGGGGAGCGAUCGGGAUUAGAUA
RNAcentral lists this ribosomal RNA (647 nucleotides) under uncultured archaeon. RNAcentral describes it as "bacterial SSU rRNA". It matches the Rfam family "Archaeal small subunit ribosomal RNA", at positions 96 to 735 of the family's 1478-position model. The record is from RNAcentral.